This 253-nucleotide ribosomal RNA is filed under the name uncultured bacterium. RNAcentral describes it as "partial 16S ribosomal RNA". It matches the Rfam family "Bacterial small subunit ribosomal RNA", at positions 524 to 776 of the family's 1533-position model. The record is from RNAcentral.
UACAGAGGGGGCAAGCGUUGUUCGGAAUUACUGGGCGUAAAGGGCUCGUAGGUGGCCAACUAAGUCAGACGUGAAAUCCCCAGGCUCAACUUGGGAACUGCGUCUGAUACUGGAUGGCUUGAAUUCGGGAGAGGGAUGCAGAAUUCCAGGUGUAGCGGUGAAAUGCGUAGAUAUCUGGAGGAAUACCGGUGGCGAAGGCGGCACCCUGGACCGAGAUUGACACUGAUGAGCGAAAGCUAGGGGAGCAAACGGG